GUGGGGAAUUUUGGACAAUGGGCGCAAGCCUGAUCCAGCAAUGCCGCGUGCAGGAAGAAGGCCUUCGGGUUGUAAACUGCUUUUGUACGGAACGAAACGGUCCAGGUUAAUACCUGGGGCUAAUGACGGUACCGUAAGAAUAAGCACCGGCUAACUACGUGCCAGCAGCCGCGGUAAUACGUAGGGUGCAAGCGUUAAUCGGAAUUACUGGGCGUAAAGCGUGCGCAGGCGGUUUUGUAAGACAGGCGUGAAAUCCCCGGGCUCAACCUGGGAAUUGCGCUUGUGACUGCAAGGCUGGAGUGCGGCAGAGGGGGAUGGAAUUCCGCGUGUAGCAGUGAAAUGCGUAGAUAUGCGGAGGAACACCGAUGGCGAAGGCAAUCCCCUGGGCCUGCACUGACGCUCAUGCACGAAAGCGUGGGGAGCAAACAGGAUUAGAAACCCCGGUAGUCC
RNAcentral lists this ribosomal RNA (450 nucleotides) under uncultured bacterium. RNAcentral describes it as "partial 16S ribosomal RNA". It matches the Rfam family "Bacterial small subunit ribosomal RNA", at positions 354 to 796 of the family's 1533-position model. The record is from RNAcentral.